GAUGAACGCUGGCGGCGUGCUUAACACAUGCAAGUCGAACGAAGCAUUAUAACUUGAUUUCUUCGGAAUAAUUGUUACAAUGACUGAGUGGCGGACGGGUGAGUAACGCGUGGGUAACCUGCCUCAUACAGGGGGAUAACAGUUAGAAAUAGGUGCUAAUACCGCAUAAGCGCACAGGACCGCAUGGUCCGGUGUGAAAAAACUCCGGUGGUGUGAGAUGGACCCGNGUCUGAUUAGCUAGUUGGUGGGGUAACGGCCUACCAAGGCGACGAUCAGUAGCCGGCCUGAGAGGGUGAACGGCCACAUUGGGACUGAGACACGGCCCAAACUCCUACGGGAGCAGCAGUGGGAAUAUUGCACAAUGGGGGAAACCCUGAUGCAGCGACGCCGCGUGAGUGAAGAAGUAUUUCGGAUGUAAAGCUCU
Molecule: ribosomal RNA, 424 nt
Filed under: uncultured bacterium
Lineage: Bacteria
Description: bacterial SSU rRNA
Rfam family: Bacterial small subunit ribosomal RNA
Source: RNAcentral